GAAGGGAUCUUUUGGCUAAGUUGGGAGUACUAAGCAUGUGAUGAAGGAUAAUAUACCCAAUAUUUAGCACCAUUUCCUCUAGAAUGCAGUCCAAAAUGGCUACAUCUAAACGACUAAUUUCAUCUGCAUGACCAGCCCUAGGAGUAAUCACAUGAUGAAGAACACAAUGAAGGAUUCGAGUUUGAAGAGGUAAGGCUUGAGAUUUCAAAGGUGAGUUACAGAACGCAGUGGACAAAUCACGCCGUCAACAAAUU
This 254-nucleotide long non-coding RNA is filed under the name Citrus sinensis (sweet orange). RNAcentral's name for it is "long non-coding RNA (CSIN_LNC002164)". The record is from RNAcentral. Lineage: Eukaryota; Viridiplantae; Streptophyta; Magnoliopsida; Sapindales; Rutaceae.